This 817-nucleotide unclassified non-coding RNA is filed under the name Hevea brasiliensis (rubber tree). Lineage: Eukaryota; Viridiplantae; Streptophyta; Magnoliopsida; Malpighiales; Euphorbiaceae. The record is from RNAcentral.
CAAGUCACAAGCCAACCUUGAUUUCCAUAUAAAGUCAUACCACCAAUUCAAGCCUAGCCACAAAACAAAACUAGUAAGAGUAUGCAACUCAACUUCUUUCAUUUUACUCUCCUCGUCAUAGUUGGCGUUACUGUCGCCGCCACGGCAGGUAGUCCGGCUCCUGACAAGAGAGUAGUCUCUCCUGAAAUGUCUAAGGGCCCUAAUAAUGGCCAAGGCAGCCCCAGUUCUGGAGCUACUGGCUCCGGCCAUGGCCCCAACUGGGACUACAGUUGGGGAUGGGGGUCCAGUCCCGAUAGCGGAUGGGGUUAUGGUUCCGGUUCAGGCCGCUCGCCAAAUGGGUUUGGCAGGGGUUUUGGGUUUGGGUUUGGGUCUGGAAGUGGGUCAGGAUCAGGAUAUGGUUAUGGGUCUGGCAGUGGUGGUGCACACGGUGGUGGUGGUGGUGGGUAUGGGGCUGGAAGUGGGUCAGGUAAUUCAGGUGGCGGUGGUGGUGCAGGUGGCUACGGUGGUGGUUACUGGCCGAUUGAUUCCAGAGGGAAAAACAAACAUGGGUGAGUCUAUUUAUCCAUAGAGUGUACAUGGUGUGCAAGUGCAAGCUUGACAUUAAUUAAGCUUAGAAUUAUAUAUAGCUUACAUAGUUUAAGUUUUGGGUUGUGUGUAUUAUGAUUCGUGGCUUAAGUAACCACGUUAGCUCCUCUACUGUGAAAAGGUUUGCCUAUUCUCUUACUUCCAUUUUUCUCUCAUUUCACCAGCAUCUGUAAACUUUAUUGACUAGUAUUCCUCAUCUCCUUCAAACAUCAAAGCUACUUCUUUUUUUUUU